Molecule: ribosomal RNA, 424 nt
Filed under: uncultured prokaryote
Description: bacterial SSU rRNA
Rfam family: Bacterial small subunit ribosomal RNA
Source: RNAcentral
UGGGGAAUAUUGGACAAUGGGCGCAAGCCUGAUCCAGCCAUGCCGCGUGAGUGAUGAAGGCCCUAGGGUUGUAAAACUCUUUCGCCGGUGAAGAUAAUGACGGUAACCGGUAAAGAAGCCCCGGCUAACUUCGUGCCAGCAGCCGCGGUAAUACGAAGGGGGCUAGCGUUGUUCGGAAUAACUGGGCGUAAAGCGCACGUAGGCGGAUUGUUUAGUUAGAGGUGAAAUCCCGGGGCUUAACCCCGGAACUGCCUUUAAUACUGGCAAUCUGGAGUCCGAGAGAGGUGAGUGGAAUUCCGAGUGUAGAGGUGAAAUUCGUAGAUAUUCGGAGGAACACCAGUGGCGAAGGCGGCUCACUGGCUCGGUACUGACGCUGAGGUGCGAAAGCGUGGGGAGCAAACAGGAUUAGAUACCCCCGUAGUCC